GCUAACUACGGGCCGGGAGGAGGGGUAAUAGGUAGGGUGCAAGGGUGAAGUGGAAUGACGGGGCGGAAAGCGUGCGCAGGCGGUUAUAUAAGAGAGAGGUGAAAUCCCCGGGCUCAACCUGGGAACUGCAUUUGUGACUGUAUGGCUAGAGUACGGCAGAGGGGGAUGGAAUUCCGCGUGUAGCAGUGAAAUGCGUAGAUAUGCGGAGGAACACCGAUGGCGAAGGCAAUCCCCUGGGCCUGUACUGACGCUCAUGCACGAAAGCGUGGGGAGCAAACAGGAUUAGAUACCCGGGUAGUC
This 300-nucleotide ribosomal RNA is filed under the name uncultured Pyrobaculum sp. RNAcentral describes it as "bacterial SSU rRNA". It matches the Rfam family "Bacterial small subunit ribosomal RNA", at positions 496 to 795 of the family's 1533-position model. The record is from RNAcentral. Lineage: Archaea; Thermoproteati; Thermoproteota; Thermoprotei; Thermoproteales; Thermoproteaceae.